UUUCUCCAUCUCCCUUCCAUGAAUCCUAAUUUUAGAGCCCUCUCCUUCUUCCUAUGACUCAUCUCCUUGCUCUCUUCUCCCAUUAAGAGUUCUUCCUCUUUGUCUUUCGAGAUUGAAUGCUAGGGUUUAUAAAGUCAGUGGUGAGUAGUUUUGGUACUUCACCGAAAGUUUCCUCCCCUUCAAGCUAAGUAUUGAAAGCCCUUCUCCUUUUCUCGAUCCUCCCUCCCUCAUCGAUCUUUAGUCUCCUCUUCUUUUAUUCCUCUAUGAGUUGAAGCCAAGCGAUGGCGACGGUGCUAGUGGUGGAGGAAAUAGGGCAUGGAAAGAUCGAGAUCAAGCAGAUCAAGAAUUCCACCAACUGGAAGGUCACCUUCUCUAAGUGCCGCAAUGGGAUAAUUAAGUAGAUGAGAGAGAUCAACAUCCUCUAUGAAGAGCAGGUCUCCAUCAUCAUAUUCUCAAGCUCUGGCAAGAUGUCUGAGUACUGCAACCCCUCCACAAUCUUGCCGAAGGUUUUGGAGAGGUACCAGAUGAACUUCGACAAAAAUAUCUGGGAUGCAAAGCAUUGGUAACAUUGCCACAAAAUAAAGAAAGAAAAAGAUAUUGCUUUGUUUCUUUUCGUUUGUUUCAAAAGGCUCCUUUUUAUCCAUAAAUGGAAAUGAUAAGGCUAAGAUUUUUUUUUUUUUUUUCUGAUUUUUAAAGCAAAUCAUGGAGAUUCUAAUUCUUUGAUUUUUUUUUUCUUUUUGUCAUCUCAUUCUUAUAAAACCUUAUUUUCCUUUAUUUUCAAAAGACUCUUUUACAAAGUUUGAGUGUUGAAAUUGAACGAGUAAAGAAAGAGAACAACAACAUGCAGAUUGAACUAAAGUUUAUUGUGCUAAUUUAUUGUUUGAUUUAUAUUAUUCACUGCAUCACUAAUUUGGUGAAGUUUUGUUGUAUUAUGAUGACUUUGUUUUGUGGAAUUAUUAGGCAUCUUAAGGGUGAGGAUCUGAACUCCCUUUACCCAGAAGAAUUAAUUCCAAUCGAAGAAGUCCUUUAGAUUGGUCUUACAAGUGUAAGGGAGAAGCGAGUGAGAAAUUUGUUUGAUAAAUUUUUUAUUGUUAGUGUAACUGUGAUAAUCUGUGUUGUUGUUGAAUCCUUAGUCAUCAAUUUUGUUCCCCCUACUGGAUGGAGAUUUAGAAGAUGCACAAAAAGAAUGAAAAGUUACUUGAGGUGGAGAACAAGCAACUGACUUAUAUGCUGGUAAUCUUCUUAUCAGAUGAUCUUUACAGCUCGGGUGUGUUUCACAGCUUCAAAUGUUAUACCUAUUUCUUGAUUUACAAAAUUUGAUAGUUGUCGGAUCAAUUAUUAUGGCAAUACUCUAUUAUGACUUUUCAUGUCUUAGUAGAGGAAUAUUAAUAAUGGGACAUAUUUAAUCCAAAGUAACUUGCAGAUACAGGGACAUGCCCUUUUAUCAUUCUCUUGGACACAUUUGAGGCAAUAUUUAGCCUCUUUAGCAAGUCUUCUCUAGCAGUUAACCUAAUGGAAUUUAGAUAUCUACAUGGUCAUCUCUAGCUAAGCUUAAGUUAGGCGAUUCUUCUGCUAAUAUCUAGUUAUAAGAGAUUUCCAUUUUAUUUAUCACUUUUUGUUAGACAUUUUAAUUACUUCAUAAUGUUUCUAUUAACACUUGGUCCUUGCAAGUUUAGCACCAUCAACAAAUGGCAAUAAUGGACGGAAGCACUUUUUAGGUAAUUAAAAAAUAUAGAGCGCCCAUUGAAAACAAACAUUGAAGAAUUUGAAAAAAAAAAUUAACUGAUUUUGAAAAGAAACUUUAGAUGGCAGUAUUACCGUAUUUAUAAAUUAAUUUUGGAAGUGCAUUGUUUUGAAUAAAAGCUCCAAGGACAUGAAUUUUAUCGAACACUUUAAUUAGGGGGCGGAUCCUCUGAUCCGCAAAGGCUGAAUCAAUUCAUGAUCCAACCUUUACAUUGGUGGAGGACAAUGGACCCCCACCUGUUAACAGAUGGAGGCCAUUGCCUCCCACCAAUCCUCUUGCCCCGAUCCAAGAGUGGACCAGGACAAGGGGAUCAGAGGAUCCGGUCCCCUUUAAUUACCUCUCAAGGUGCUUUGACCGUUAAAAACCAACAAAAUGCGCUUUGACCCUAAGAUUCUCUAGAGAAGCACUCUUGAACCUAGGCUAAGCUAUUCCAAUUUCGUAUCCUCUUUUUCCUCUCUAUUAAGGCUGCAUUGCUUGCUUAAGUUCUGAAUAGUAAAUUUCAAAUUUUCUUUUGGCAGUUACAGAUACCAUUGUGCAACUACUAUCUUUAGUUUCACAAAUCAAUAAAUUUAUUUUGGCUCUUUAACAAGGACUCAAAUGUUUCACAAAUCAGUAAGAUUAUUUUGUUGUGGUAUUCUCUACCACCUCUUUUACAAGGAAGGAUUAUUUCCAGUUUUACUUCAUAAAACUAUCCUUCAUCCUCUACCAAAUCUAUCAAACAUUGAAAGGAGCUAUUUUUGUCCUUCUACUCCUUUAACUUCCGUUGGCUUGUUUUAGGCGGUGGUCAAAUCUCUUUGACUUAAAGUAGCCUUUUGCCAGUUUGUUGGAAGACCAAAAGGUCAAGCCACGACAAGUGGUAAUUUUUUGUUUUAUGUUUUAUUUUAUUAUCUCCUUCGCGAGAUUGCUUAAAUUGCUACUCUUUAUAACUAAAGCAAUAUUUGAAUCUUCAGUGAAUUGAUGUUGCUUAAUUCUCCUCUUUGACUUUAAAAGAGUAAAUUAGUUCUUUGUAUUGCAAAAGUCCUGUCUUCUUAGUUUUGAUGGAGAAAAAUUGACCCAUUCCCUUUAAAGAUUGCACAUCAAAAGCAUUUCAAACAAUCUGAUACAAACUAGUGUUCUAGCUAUAACUAAUUCUUCUCUAGUUGAAUUGUUAAAAAAAAGGAUGUCAUCUGAUAGUUCGUUAAAUACUGACUUAUCAGAAAAGAUACUCGUCUUGGUCUGAGACUUUGGGUUGUGGUUGGCAUCUGCCUGGGUGUUCUAAUUGUGUUUAUUCUGGUCAUUUUAUCUAUAUGGAUCACAUCCAAGAGGAAGACAAAGAUGUUAGUUAGAGUCCUAGAACCAAUCAUUUGAUGAUUGUUGUAUGGACUCAUUGUAUUAUAUUUCUUAUAUAUAUAAAGACAUUUGUUUUGGUUAUUAUACUUACUUGUAUUGGUGUCAAAUA
Long non-coding RNA from Zingiber officinale, 3182 nucleotides. RefSeq lists it as uncharacterized. The record is from RefSeq and is a predicted model, not a curated record. Lineage: Eukaryota; Viridiplantae; Streptophyta; Magnoliopsida; Zingiberales; Zingiberaceae. The transcript has 3 exons.